CUGGUAGAACUUUUUUUAGAAGGUGAGGACUAUUACGGUCUUAUAUGCAUGUUCUACAAAACGAUACAUUUACUUUCCGCAUUUUUUUCGCAAAUGAGGUUUUUGUUUUUAAUUAAUCAUCAAGAUUUUGCACGCUGAUUCAUAUUCUCUGGGUGAUUAUAUAUAGGUAUCCGCUGGAUAUUUUGUCGAAUUAAUUUCGGGGGUGAGCUAAUUUAUUUUAUGUAAUUAUAUCAUUUUACAGAAAGAGUACUAAUAUUUAUUUUUUUAAUAAAAUAAAUAAAAGACCCUAAAAAGUUCUUUUGUUUUUUUUUCAAUCCAAGUUUCAAUCACGUACCCAUAGCAAUAGAAG
Molecule: long non-coding RNA, 349 nt
Filed under: Populus tremula
Lineage: Eukaryota; Viridiplantae; Streptophyta; Magnoliopsida; Malpighiales; Salicaceae
Description: long non-coding RNA (PTRE_LNC003272)
Source: RNAcentral